CUUGUUUGUAGUUUUUCUCUAUGUAUUUUUAAAUAGCACCAAAGGAUGCUUGAGUUUGUGGAUAAAUAUGAUUAAGUCUUCUGUUGCUCCAGUCCUUAGUGAGGCUGCCUUAAAUCACAGCUGGAGCAGUUUUUGACCAAUAUCUGUACCCUCUGGACUUAAAUCUGCUCGGAUGUGCCCCUACAGAACAUUUCAAACCGAUAGGACCUGCAGUAACAGGAUAGAAAAUGGUCCCCAGCACCUCACCCUACUCCUCUGCACCCUCUGCUCAGGCUCUGCCAUUUUUGCAGCCAUGCAUCAUAUCUGUCUGUGGCUCACAGGUGCGUGAUCUCCAUGACGACUUGGGCACUUGAAGUAGAAAUAUGAGCUGCAUCAUCUCCCCCUGUUGUCCAUCGACAUGAAAUGCAGUGUUCUGAAACAUGAGAAAGGCAAUACAUUUCCUCCAGUUCUUUGUAAGCUGAUACGAAGUAGACAGACACCUUCUGAAGUUUUGUGCAUGCUGUGCUCUUUUUUUCUUUGCUGCAACAAGAAAAGUCUUUUCUUUUAACCUGGCUUACUUUGAAGAAGUAACUCAGGAAGCUUCAUGGCCUCUCAAGAAUCUCAACAACAAACAACCACAGUCUUUAAGGAUUACCUCCCUGGUUCUUCUGGCCUUCCUGAACAAGAUAAGCCUGUUGAACCCACAAGCCUCUGGAAGCAAACAUCACAUGCUCAUAACUUGCCACCUGGUCUGGAGUAUCUGAAUCAGGUCCUGGAUAUUUUCAAAUGCUAAAACUGUUCUGUUUUCAUCAUAGACUGAUAAAUUUGGGGGGUGGGGGAGUGUUCUUUUUUUUUUUUUUUUUUUUCCUUGUGAAGAGGGAGUUGGAGAAGGGGAAGCUUUUUGGUUGUCUGAUAUUACUAUGAAAUAAGGAACAUAGGACUAAUAAGCUCUUCCUUCAUUGCUGCCAUUCAUUUUUAUGGAAAACCAUUUGUUGUACAGUUCUCCUUGCCCCCCAAACACAAUUUUCUUCUCUCUAGGACUUGCUUUUUCCUGAUCAUAACUUUUAUCCCUCUCAUUGUCCUGCCCAGAUUCCUUCCAGCUCCUUAAGAGCUCACUUCCAGGGAAACCACUGCCAACCUCCGUCUGACCUCAAAACUAGUCUGGUUGAUGAAAACAAGCAGUGUGCUGAAGGAACUGUCACAUUCCAUCCUUUUGGGAACAUGCAGGUCUUCUGAGCAAAUUCCUUGUGCCCA
This 1233-nucleotide long non-coding RNA is filed under the name Anas platyrhynchos platyrhynchos (common mallard). RNAcentral's name for it is "lncRNA (ENSAPLG00000022445.1)". The record is from RNAcentral. Lineage: Eukaryota; Metazoa; Chordata; Aves; Anseriformes; Anatidae.